Molecule: unclassified non-coding RNA, 733 nt
Filed under: Bombus terrestris (buff-tailed bumblebee)
Lineage: Eukaryota; Metazoa; Arthropoda; Insecta; Hymenoptera; Apidae
Description: misc RNA ENSBTSG00005031208.1
Source: RNAcentral
GUCACUUUAUUCCUGCACCACGCGUAUCAAAACACAACGUAACGUAAUUAUCCCCCCUAAAAAAAAGAGGGGGAAGAGGAACGACACCGGAUUAACUCUUCUCUGUUCAUCAUGAACGAUCUCAUAAAUGACGAGGAACCGGCAAAGGCUCGCACAAUUACACUAGCGUGUCUUUCCUACUUUUAAUUAAAUCCUCCAUAAUUCAACUAAGAUCCUCUCUCGUCGGGAAGCGAAUGGCAAGCAAGACAGACACUGUCGUGGCGAGUUGUCGUUCAUGAAACGGCAUAAAUGAACGACCCGGUAUCGUUCAAGCAACGAAGAAAAGAGAGUAAAAAGAGAAAAGAAAGAAGGAGGGGAAAAAGGACGAGACGAAGAAAGGAGGAUCAAACAGACGAGCUUGUAAUCACAGUCACUACAGGGCUGACUCGCGCCUUGUUAAUUACACCGUGCCACGAGUUGUAAGCGUUUAGCCGGUGUCUUUUUAAAUUAACAGCGAGAAGUCGAGGUUAAAGAAGAGUCGCGUGGUGUUGAAUGUAAAGCGAUUCGAUUCAAGUUGAAAGAAGAAGCGGAUGAGCUAUGAGUUACGAGCAGGCUGCGCAGUUUCAUGCAAAUUUAUAUUUUAAUGAAUGCAAGUCAAGAGAUAGCAGUUAAAUAGAAAUUUAUUUUACACUCUAGAUGCUACAUAGUUUUAUCAUUUUCCAUGUUUUUUUUUAUAUUUGCGAGUGUUGUACGC